CGCUGUGAGGGAGGCUGCAUGACACAUAGCCGUCAUAAGUGGUAGUUGAGCUCGGAAGACGGAUCCAUUUCAGUCACGGGGGUGUUCAUGCGCAUAGCGCGUCUCAGAGCAGCACUUGUGCGCCAUGAACGAGCGGGAUAUCACCGCUUUCACACUCCUACCGGCGACCACCGAGCAGAAAGAUCCCAUACAUUACUCUCUGCAAAAAUUUUACUGCAGGAAUGGAGGAUACCAUCUCCGGAUCCAACCUAACGGGACUGUGGACGCGAGUCGACAAGAUAAUGACGUUUACAGUGAGUAUGCAGUCAUGCUGAAUGAUGAGUGUUGCUUCAUUGAGAAGAUAGAAAAAGAACGGACGGACCAAAAACAGCUCCAAAACACACAAGGGCCAAAAUGCAAUCUACUUCCUGCCGAUUCCAGUGGAUGGCAGCAUACAGUAACUUUUGUGCUGAUCAGAGGCCCUCAAAACAACCCGAGCACUAUAAAGAACUGCACAUUCCCAAGUAAAGGUGAACAAUGCGUAG
Molecule: RNA transcript, 524 nt
Organism: Cyprinus carpio (common carp)
Lineage: Eukaryota; Metazoa; Chordata; Actinopteri; Cypriniformes; Cyprinidae
Gene name: fibroblast growth factor 1-like
Exons: 2
Source: RefSeq, a predicted model, not a curated record